AGGAAGUGAGGAAGGAGCCAGA
RNAcentral lists this microRNA (22 nucleotides) under Bos taurus (domestic cattle). Its description in RNAcentral is "bta-miR-10173-5p". The record is from miRBase by way of RNAcentral. Lineage: Eukaryota; Metazoa; Chordata; Mammalia; Artiodactyla; Bovidae.